Molecule: small RNA, 148 nt
Filed under: Pongo abelii (Sumatran orangutan)
Lineage: Eukaryota; Metazoa; Chordata; Mammalia; Primates; Hominidae
Description: Metazoan signal recognition particle RNA (ENSPPYG00000040644.1)
Source: Rfam by way of RNAcentral
GCUGGGCAUGGUGGCGCAUGCCUGUAGUCCCAGCUACUCGGGAGGCUGAGGCAGGAGAAUCACUUGAACCCGGGAGGCAGAGGUUGCUGUGAGCUCAGAUCAAACCACCGCACUCCAGCCUGGGUGACAGAGCGAGAUUUUGCCUUAA